CUGUCCUGAACCUAAAGACCCAGAAUGUGAUGAGCUCCUGUUUUUAAACGCGCUGCUGCUUUUCCGUCAACUGGGCUUCCAGAUACAAAGCCCAGAAGCUUCCCCUCGCUGAAUGGUAACCAGCGCACCGCUACUGACAGCAAACACAGUCUAGCUCUUGCUACAAAAAUGACCAUGGAAGGAUUCUGACUCUCCAAUCCUGAUCACAAACCCACCAUCUGUACUCAUCACUGUGGCCAGAGAGUUUUUAAAAUCUAGACUUAGAUUCUUGGCAACCAGUGAAAAGACAGUCAUGCAUCUGCCCAGUCUGCUGCAAUGUAUUUUUUUCUGGACUUAGCAGAAAACUCAAGGUUUCUGCCAUAUUUCUUUUUUUAUUCUGUGUCCUGCAGUUCAUCUAAUCAUCUCAUGCUGGCUUUCUCUGUUAGAUAUUGUUUUGUAGAGUAACCCAAUUAAAUAUGGCCCCAUUUAAUGCAGUGGGCCUUUAUUUGGGUCUGGUUUCAAAGUAUUAUCUUGUAAUUUUCCAAGCCUUAUUGAUUUACCUUUUUAAAAAAAAAUUCCCUGGUGGUGUAUCUGCUGCAGCAGCUAGCAUGGCAUCACAAUAAAUCCUCCUGAACAGAUUUGCACGCAGAAGACAGCUGUAAGCAAAGCUCAUUGUAUGUCACACAAUGCCCUUUAAAGGAGAUCCUCAUUUGUCCAUUGUCUGAGGAUUGAAUAGAAACUGAAGACUUUUUAACUGACCUGGUUUUUCACUAAAUGUGUGAGUUUCUGCAUAUUGUUUGUGUUGUUUUCACAG
Molecule: long non-coding RNA, 793 nt
Filed under: Heterocephalus glaber (naked mole-rat)
Lineage: Eukaryota; Metazoa; Chordata; Mammalia; Rodentia; Bathyergidae
Description: lncRNA (ENSHGLG00100038672.1)
Source: RNAcentral